Sapajus apella (tufted capuchin) is the source of this 119-nucleotide long non-coding RNA. RefSeq lists it as uncharacterized. The record is from RefSeq and is a predicted model, not a curated record. The transcript is spliced from 3 exons. NCBI's taxonomy places the organism in Eukaryota, Metazoa, Chordata, Mammalia, Primates, Cebidae.
GCAUAAAUGUCUUCUUUUGAGAAGUGUCUGUUCAUAUCCUUUGCCCACUUUUGGAUGGGGUUGUUUUUGCUUGUAAGUUUAUUUAAAUUCCUUAUAGAUUCUGAAUAUUACACCUUUGU